Molecule: long non-coding RNA, 2595 nt
Organism: Serinus canaria (Common canary)
Lineage: Eukaryota; Metazoa; Chordata; Aves; Passeriformes; Fringillidae
Exons: 3
Source: RefSeq, a predicted model, not a curated record
UUUCAGCCAUUGGGGCCUUUGCUCCUUCUCUGCAGCUCUGAGGCCUUUCCAGGGACAGGGGACAGGUUUGUGUCACCUCUCUGGGACACACAGGUUUGUGUCACCUCCCUAGGACACAGUCAGGGACAAAUGAGUGUCCCAGGGAGGUGACACAAACCUGUGUCUCCUGUCCCCAAGUGUGUCCCGGGGAGGUGACACAAAUGAGUGUCCCAAGGAGGUGACAUAAAUGUGUGCCUUGUGUCCCCGAGCGUGUCCUGGGGAGGUGACACAAAUGUGUGUCCAGGGAGGUGACACAAGUGUCCUGUGUGUCCCCAGGUGUGUCCAGGGAGGUGACACAAGUGUCCUGUGUCCCAGGGGGGAGGUGACACUCACGGCUGUCCCAAGGGGAGGUGACACUCACGGCUGUCCCAGGGGGAGGUGACACUCACAGGUGUCCCAGGGGGAGGUGACACUCACGGCUGUCCCAGGGGGGAGGUGACACUCACAGGUGUCCCAGGGGGAGGUGACACUCACGGGUGUCCCAAGGGGAGGUGACACUCACGGCUGUCCCAGGGAGGUGACACACUCAGGUGUCCCAAGGGGAGGUGACACUCACGGGUGUCCCAAGGGGAGGUGACACUCACGGGUGUCGCGUGUCCCCAGCACUCGCGGCCUGCAGCGCCCCCUGGUGGAGCGGAGCGCUCACAGCAGCCGCAGGGACCGCCCUCAUUAAUUAAUGCUAAUUAAAUCAUUAAUUAAAAUCAUUAAUGAUCAAUUCCAAUCCAAUAAAAUCACCCUCAACAAAACCAAAAAAGGUUAAAAAAAAUUAAAAAAUAAAAAUUUUCACGUCAUUAAUUCCUUAAAAUCCUGAAUUAUCAAUGAAAUAUUAAUCCAUUAUUAAUGAUUAAUUAAUAGUGUUAAUUAAAUCUAUUAAUCGAUUACUAAUUCAAUUAUUAGGCACUAAUUCCCAGCCAGCCAUUCUACUUCUUAAUUAUAACUAUUAGUAUUAAUUAUAUUAUUAAUUCUUAUUAUUAAUUAUAAUUAAGGGGUAAUUGUUAAUGAUGCGAUUAUUAGCAGCUAAUUAAUUAAAGAUAAUUCCACAAAUAAUGAUUUUAUUCUAAUUAUUUCCUACUUGAAAUGAUAAUUAUUCAUUCCUAAUUAGGCCAUUAUUAAUGAGUUAUUAAUUCCUCGUGGUUCAUCAAUAAUUAAUUACUGAUCAAUAAUUAAUCGUGGCAUAAAGACUAAUUAAUAAAGAAUUAAUUGAUAAUGACAAAUUAAUCACUUCUAAAUCAUUAAUUAGUUCUUUACCUAAAUAAUAAUCAGGUAAUUAAUUAUUAAUUGCUAAUUAACUAGAUAUUAAUAAGCAAUUAAUGACGAUCUAUUAAUAACUAAUAAUUAUGGAACGAAUGAUUUCAGAGUUAAUAAUCACUAAUUAGCUAAUUAAUCAUUAGGUUUAAAAUCCCUUAGCUAAUUAGAGAAUUCCCUAAUUAUUAAUUAAUCAGCUAGCGGAUUAAUUCGCCAAUUAUUAACUCUGCCGGUCCUGAAUUAAUUAAUAAUUAUGAAAUGAAUUUCCAAUCAAGAAGAAAUUAAAUUAUUAUUAAUUAUUAAUAAUUAAUAAUCAAUUAAUGAUUAAUUGCCUCAUAAUUAAUGAGGUAAUUAAAUGCGAAUCGUUAAUUGGCAAUUAACCCGGAAAUAAAAUAUUAACGGCGGAAUAAUUAAUUGAUAAUUAGUAAUUAAUAUUUAUUGGCCCAGUUAAUUAUUAAUCAGCGAUUAAUUAUUAAUGAGCAGCUAAUAAUGAGGCAUUGAAGAAAUGGUGCCUAAUUAAUAUUCAAUGAGCCAAUUAAGGCUUUAAUUCAUGCCAUUAUUGGCUAAUUAAUUACUGGUUAUUAACCAGGCAAUUAUUAAUUAACGGCCAAUAGGGGAUUAAUUAGUAAUUAAUUAUUUAAUGAAUGAUCCAUCAAUCAUUUUUUAAUUGAUUUUGAUUUGAUUUGAUUUCAAUUUUUAAAUUUCUCCACUUUAUUUUCAUCCAUUUUCAUUUCACUUCACCCAAUAAAAUUUCAUUUUUUAAUUCAUUUUAUUCCAUUUUUAUUUCAAUUUUUAUUUCAUUUUUUAAUUCAUUUUUAUUCCAUUUUUAUUUCAUUUUUAAUUCCUUUUGAAUUCAUUUUUAUUUCAUUUUUUAUUUCAUUUUUAUUUCAUUUUUAUUUCAUUUUCUUUGCUUUUAUUUCAUUUGAUUUUUAAUUUUUUUAAUAUUUUCUAUUAAUUUCCCUCACUUUCCUUUUUUAAACUUCUUUGGUUUUUAUUUUUUAUUUUAUUUUAUUUCUCUUUAGUUUUUAUUUGACUUUCUUUUUAUUCCCUUUUAUCACUAAUUUAUUUCUUUUAAUUUACUUUAUUUUUCUUUCAUUCAAUUCUUGAUCCCUUUCUUUCACUUUAGCUUUUAUUUUAUUAUUAAAUUAUUUCUUAAUUUAUUUUAUUUGGAAUUUUUUACUUUAAUUUUUUAAAAUCAUUUUUAUUUUUAAUAUUUUAUUUCCUCCCUUUUUUUCAUUUUCAUUACUUUCAAUGUUUAUUUCACUUCAAUUUGAUUUUACUUUACAUUUAAUUUAAUUUAUUUUAUUUUAU